Long non-coding RNA from Hipposideros armiger (great roundleaf bat), 1374 nucleotides. RefSeq lists it as uncharacterized. Lineage: Eukaryota; Metazoa; Chordata; Mammalia; Chiroptera; Hipposideridae. The transcript is spliced from 3 exons. The record is from RefSeq and is a predicted model, not a curated record.
UCUUAGAUGCCAAAAGCAGAAACUCCCCGAGGUCAAACCUGAAAUUCCGCUUUGAUAAGCUCAGUCACGCCAGCUCCAGUGCGGGUCACUAAUGUGAAAGAGGAGCCCUUCGCCUGUCAAAGGGAAGCUCUGAUUCUGUCUCGGAGAAGACUCCUAUUCCAGCAGUUUGGGGGUGUCAUCCACUACUCUUACUGUCACAGGCCUGCUGCCCCACUGGCCACCUGCCCACCAGACCAGCUGUCUGUCCCAGUGUCCCGACCUGGCCACGGCCCUACCCGCCUCUUCGCCAAGACACCCUGCCAGCCCCUCCUCAUCUCUGGACAAAGCCUCAUUUUUCCAGGCUCCGCUGCUCCUGACUGCCCGAUGUGCUGUGUGUCUGGGUCAUUUGUCAUCUUUUUUUGUCUGCAGAGGCAAGAGCUGGGCAAGGGGGAUCUGGGUACUGGUGACUCAGAGACCGGAGAGGAGAGAGAGUGGCGAGGUGGGGAGCAGAGGCCGACAGCAGGACUGCGCCCAGGGAGGGACAGUGCUGUGUCCUGGACAUGGCAGGCACAGCGAAUGAAUUUAGUGGUAGUGGUGGGAGCACUUUUUCCAGAAGCCAAAAUUUGCAGCUCCUCAAAGUUGUCCUGAUAGAAAUCGGCUCUGUUGCUGCCCUCUCGGGAGGUCCCAAACAUCCAUUUGCUUCUGUGCUACGGACUUCUUACCCGCUUGCUGACCUCAGGCCCAAGGCAGCCUCCAUCUCUGCUGCCAGUGUGUCUCGAGCAGCCCAGCUGGCUGAAGCUGAGACAGAGCUGGGCAUGGGUGGGAGUGGGCGCCCCCUCUUCCUUGACUGCCUAAUUUCACACAGGCUCCCGGUUGCGGUCUCUGUGGGAGAAGCCCUGUGUCAGUCUCUCCCCGUUGAGCAGAUGUUUUUCCCAUGAAGGGGUGGGCAGCCAGGAGUGAGAAGGGAUUCUUGGAGAGCACGCCAGUGAGCGCUGGGGCCUUGGCUGAGGAAAACCUCAGACUGAGGGCUAGGCCAGGAUCCAGGUCUCUGCUGGGUGUGGAGGUUCAUGGGCGAGUGUCUUCAGCCUACCUCUUAGGCGAGAGCCCGAGACGUGAGGUGGGGAUGACUUGUCCGGUGUGGUCAGGCCCACGUGCGGGUGGAGAACUUGGCUGUGGCAAAGGAGCAGUGUCCUGCAUUUUAUGUUCCUGGUAUCUUGUGGGGUGCCCCGCGCUGCCUGGGGGGCUCUUUCUAGCUACUGUGUCCUUUGGCUAUAUCAAGGCUUGGUCCCUCAGACCACUUCUUCCCCUCUGCAACCGUGGGUCCAUGGGCAGUUGUCACAUUGGUGGGAUUCCUGUAACCUGAGCCCCAGCUGGGUGCAGCUCAGACACUGCUGC